UUUUCACUCGAAACUUGAUACAGAAUUGAACCUUUGAUCUUUGUGUUAAACAUAGAACAGGUUCUUUUUUGUUCCAUCUGCAAUUUCCCAUAAUUCAUUUGUUUACAGAUUUCUUUUUUUCCAUUGAAUCUUUUCAAUGUUAUUAAAAAUCUCAAAAUCUCUCAUUGAAAACUUUUUGUUUACAUUAAGUUUUUUUUUCUAGUAUGUCAAACAACCAUUUAAAGAUGUUUAAGCUUUAAAUCACUAAAGCAUAAACGGUGAAUACCUCGACUCCUAAAUCGAUGAAGACCGUAGCAAACUGCGAUAAUUCACUUGAAUUGCAGCCUACUGGGAUAGUUGAAAUGUUGAACGCACAUGAUGGCAUUGGCCCUUUGGGUUAAGUGUCAUACUUGGGUGAGAGCGAUCUCUCAUUAAAUAUCAAAAUUUCUAUUAGUUAAACUAAUUUCCCUUUCGAGGGAUUUUUAACCUACAAACGAUUUUUUUGAUAUAAUAGCUUUUUUUCUUCACGAAGGAACUAAGUUAUUUUUAUAGUUGAUCUAUAGUAGUCUUUGCAGUGGUAUAAUCGACUUUGCUCCAUGAAGCCUAAAAAACUUCAGUCGGACCAUUCUAUUUGAUGUCUGUUUCUUUACCUGAAGCUUUAAUCAAACGUUCAAUUGAAAAAGCGAACAACCGAUUUUAAUUUCACCAAAAAGGUUUAGUUACUAAUUCUUUUAUUAUGGCUCAUCUUGUAUGUUAAUCCUUCUAAAAAAUUGGAGUGACUCUUUUGUAUAAUCCAAACACUGAUAAAGUAACAACUUUAUUGAGCAUUCUAACCGGUUUAGUUUAUCUUUACUGGCUCAACGUAGUAGUAUA
This 852-nucleotide unclassified non-coding RNA is filed under the name Polysphondylium violaceum. Its description in RNAcentral is "partial contains 18S rRNA, ITS1, 5.8S rRNA, ITS2 and 26S rRNA". The stretch from base 247 to 403 matches the Rfam family "5.8S ribosomal RNA". Lineage: Eukaryota; Evosea; Eumycetozoa; Dictyosteliales; Dictyosteliaceae. The record is from RNAcentral.